RNAcentral lists this ribosomal RNA (256 nucleotides) under uncultured bacterium. RNAcentral describes it as "partial 16S ribosomal RNA". It matches the Rfam family "Bacterial small subunit ribosomal RNA", at positions 524 to 776 of the family's 1533-position model. The record is from RNAcentral.
CACGUAGGGUGCGAGCGUUGUCCGGAAUUAUUGGGCGUAAAGAGCUCGUAGGCGGUGUGUCGCGUCGGCCGUGAAAACCUGCAGCUUAACUGUGGGCUUGCGGUCGAUACGGGCAUCACUGGAGUUCGGCAGGGGAGACUGGAAUUCCUGGUGUAGCGGUGAAAAUGCGCAGAUAUCAGGAGGAACACCGGUGGCGAAGGCGGGUCUUUGGGCUGACACUGACGCUCAUGCACGAAAGCGUGGGGGAGCAAACAGG